Molecule: transfer RNA, 71 nt
Filed under: Gastrotheca sp. E DCB-2013
Lineage: Eukaryota; Metazoa; Chordata; Amphibia; Anura; Hemiphractidae
Description: tRNA-Leu
Rfam family: tRNA
About the family: Transfer RNA (tRNA) molecules are approximately 80 nucleotides in length. Their secondary structure includes four short double-helical elements and three loops (D, anti-codon, and T loops).
Source: RNAcentral
UAGCGUAGCAAAACCCGGCAUUGCAAAAGACCUAAAACCUUUUUAUAGGGGCUCAAAUCCUCUCGCUAACU